GAACGCACAUUGCGCCCCUUGGUAUUCCGAGGGGCAUGCCUAUUCGAGCGUCAUUAUCACCCCUCAAGCUUCGGCUUGGUGUUGAGGCCUGCUGUAAAGGCACCCUCUAAAAUCAGUGGCAGUGCUGUCAGGCUCUAAGCGUAGUAAUUUCAUCGCUAUAGGGUCCUGGUGGAUAUUCGUCAAAACCCCCCCAUUUUUUAAUGAUUGACCUCGGAUUAGGUAGGGAUACCCGCUGAACUUA
Molecule: unclassified non-coding RNA, 241 nt
Filed under: Tetracladium marchalianum
Lineage: Eukaryota; Fungi; Ascomycota; Leotiomycetes; Helotiales
Description: sequence contains 5.8S rRNA gene
Rfam family: 5.8S ribosomal RNA (bases 1-53)
Source: RNAcentral